CCUACGGUGUGCAGCAGUGGGGAAUAUUGGACAAUGGGCGAAAGCCUGAUCCAGCCAUGCCGCGUGUGUGAAGAAGGCCUUCGGGUUGUAAAGCACUUUCAGUGGGGAAGAAAGCCUUGGGGCUAAUACCCUCGAGGAAGGACAUCACCCACAGAAGAAGCACCGGCUAACUCCGUGCCAGCAGCCGCGGUAAUACGGAGGGUGCGAGCGUUAAUCGGAAUUACUGGGCGUAAAGCGCGCGUAGGCGGUCUGAUAAGCCGGUUGUGAAAGCCCCGGGCUCAACCUGGGAACGGCAUCCGGAACUGUCAGGCUAGAGUGCAGGAGAGGAAGGUAGAAUUCCCGGUGUAGCGGUGAAAUGCGUAGAGAUCGGGAGGAAUACCAGUGGCGAAGGCGGCCUUCUGGACUGACACUGACGCUGAGGUGCGAAAGCGUGGGUAGCAAACAGGAUUAGAUACCCCUGUAGUC
Molecule: ribosomal RNA, 465 nt
Filed under: Vreelandella stevensii
Lineage: Bacteria; Pseudomonadati; Pseudomonadota; Gammaproteobacteria; Oceanospirillales; Halomonadaceae
Description: partial 16S ribosomal RNA
Rfam family: Bacterial small subunit ribosomal RNA
Source: RNAcentral